CUUAAAAUGGUAAAGCCGCGAAUGGCUCGGUAUAACAGCUACGGUUUAUUAGAUUUUAGUUAUCUACUUGGAUAACUGUGGUAAUUCUAGAGCUAAUACAUGCACGAAAGCUCGGACCUUACGGAAAGAGCGCAUUUAUUAGAACAAAACCAAUCGAAUUCCCUCACGGGGUUCGUCUGUUGGUGACUCUGAAUAACUAAGUUGAUCGCACAGUCAUAGAACUGGCGACGUAUCUUUCAAAUAUCUGCCUUAUCAACUUUCGAUGGUAGGUUAUACGCCUACCAUGGUUAUAACGGGUAACGGAGAAUAAGGGUUCGACUCCGGAGAGGGAGCCUGAGAAAUGGCUACCACAUCCAAGGAAGGCAGCAGGCGCGCAAAUUACCCAAUCCCAGUACGGGGAGGUAGUGACGAAAAAUAACGAGAUAGUCCACUAUGUGGCCUGUCAUCGGAAUGGGUACAAUUUAAAUCUUUUAACGAGGAUCUAUUAGAGGGCAAGUCUGGUGCCAGCAGCCGCGGUAAUUCCAGCUCUAAUAGCGUAUAUUAAAGUUGUUGUGGUUAAAACGCCCGUAGUUGAUUUUUCGACUUUGGAGCGCGGUAACUCGAAAGAGUUUUCACUGCGUCUGCCAAGUCUGAUUGUCUUGUUUUCUAUCGAUGCUCUUUAUUGAGUGUCUUUAGUGACUGGAACGUUUACUUUGAAAAAAUUAGAGUGCUUAAAGCAAGCUUUCAGCUUGAAUAAAGUGCAUGGGAUAAUGGAAUAGGACUUUAGUCUUAUUUUGUUGGUUUUCGAGAUUAAAGUAAUGAUUAAGAGGAAUAGACGGGGGCAUUCGUAUUGUUGCGUUAGAGGUGAAAUUCUUGGAUCGCAGCAAGACGAACAACUGCGAAAGCAUUUGCCAAGAAUGUUUUCAUUAAUCAAGGACGAAAGUUAG
RNAcentral lists this ribosomal RNA (926 nucleotides) under Mermithidae sp. AS186MY01-2. RNAcentral describes it as "SSU rRNA". It matches the Rfam family "Eukaryotic small subunit ribosomal RNA", at positions 72 to 993 of the family's 1831-position model. The record is from RNAcentral. Lineage: Eukaryota; Metazoa; Nematoda; Enoplea; Mermithida; Mermithidae.